Molecule: ribosomal RNA, 257 nt
Filed under: uncultured bacterium
Lineage: Bacteria
Description: partial 16S ribosomal RNA
Rfam family: Bacterial small subunit ribosomal RNA
Source: RNAcentral
GUAUGCCUACGGGACGCAGCAGUGAGGAAUAUUGGUCAAUGGGCGCAAGCCUGAACCAGCCAAGUCGCGUGAGGGAUGACGGUCCUAUGGAUUGUAAACCUCUUUUGUCAGGGAGCAAGGCCCGCCACGUGUGGCGGGAAGGAGAGUACCCGAAGAAAAAGCAUCGGCUAACUCCGUGCCAGCAGCCGCGGUAAUACGGAGGAUUCGAGCGUUAUCCGGAUUUAUUGGGUUUAAAGGGUGCGUAGGCGGGUUAUCAA